UACGAAGGGGGCUAGCGUUGUUCGGAAUUACUGGGCGUAAAGGGCGCGUAGGCGGUACUUCAAGUCAGGCGUGAAAGCCCCGGGCUCAACCUGGGAACCGCGCUUGAGACUGGAGAACUAGAGUUCGGGAGAGGAUGGUGGAAUUCCCAGUGUAGAGGUGAAAUUCGUAGAUAUUGGGAAGAACACCGAUGGCGAAGGCAGCCAUCUGGACCGACACUGACGCUGAGGCGCGAAAGCGUGGGGAGCAAGCAGG
RNAcentral lists this ribosomal RNA (253 nucleotides) under uncultured bacterium. RNAcentral's name for it is "partial 16S ribosomal RNA". It matches the Rfam family "Bacterial small subunit ribosomal RNA", at positions 524 to 776 of the family's 1533-position model. The record is from RNAcentral.